Chelonia mydas (Green sea turtle) is the source of this 508-nucleotide long non-coding RNA. RefSeq lists it as uncharacterized. The transcript is spliced from 2 exons. The record is from RefSeq and is a predicted model, not a curated record. Lineage: Eukaryota; Metazoa; Chordata; Testudines; Cheloniidae.
UAUUUUUUUCAAAGGUGAUGAGCUUCAAGUUUUUAGUUAGAAGGUAAAUCAGUUCCCUUUCCCACUUCUCUCAGAGUUGCAAAAUGCUAGAAAAUCUGACCUUGCUCCAUAUUACCCUUUUCCUCUGAAUUAUCUGGCUCUCCCAGAAGCCCUGCUGAAGUGAGCUCCAUGAAGGCCAACCCCUGUGCUCGAGGGAACCCUAGUGACUAUGCUGCAGAUCCUGAUGCAAGAUCAGCCCAAAGGUGGAGGUUGUUUUAAGAAAUAAGUCACAGCUUUGGAAAAAAAAAGAAAAGAAACUAUCUUCAGUUUAUGAAGGAAAAGAGAAAACAGAUCAGAGGAGUUUUAUUUAUGUAUAUAUUCAUAAAUGAUUCACUGGACUUUUGGCUGACAGAUAGGAUAGUUUCAUAAUAACUUUGUUUAUUAUGUUCCUAGCAGUGAGCUCAAACGUUUGAAUAGCUCUGUAGGAAAGACUUGUGAAGUUGACUAACAAUUAUACCUAUGACCCCUC